Molecule: ribosomal RNA, 702 nt
Filed under: Stenamoeba sp. LC-2013 strain CF7-321
Lineage: Eukaryota; Discosea; Longamoebia; Thecamoebida
Description: partial 18S ribosomal RNA
Rfam family: Eukaryotic small subunit ribosomal RNA
Source: RNAcentral
UUAAAAAGCUCGUAGUUGAAUUUUGGAACGGGAGGGAGGGGGAGUCCGAGGGUUUUCGAUCCUCGAGGCUCGCCUCUCCCUUCGUGCGGCGCCGGUCCGCCCCGAAGGGCGAGCACUGGUCCGCGCGUUCCCUCCUACCGGACGCUCGCUCCUGCUCUUCGUUGAGUGGGAGUAUUCUCCCGAGGGUCGAUUUCCCCUUUCUCCUUUUUUUUUUUCUUCACGGAAAAAAAAAAAGGGGGAAAAAGGGGGCUUUUUCCACCGGUUCCGUUCGGAGCUCCGGUUCGUUUACCUUGAAUAAAUUAGAGUGUUCAAAGCGGGCAAGCACACGCCUAGAUACUUUAGCAUGGGAUAAUAGAAUAGGACUUGGGUUCUAUUUUCGUUGGUUUCUAGGACCGAAGUAAUGAUUGAUAGGGACGGUCGGGGGCAUUAGUAUUUAAUUGUCAGAGGUGAAAUUCUCGGAUUUAGGAAAGACUGACUUCAGCGAAAGCAUUUGCCAAGGACGUUUUCAUUAAUCAAGAACGAAAGUUAGGGGAUCGAAGACGAUCAGAUACCGUCGUAGUCUUAACCAUAAACGAUGCCGACCAGGGAUCGGGAGACGUUACCUCGAUGACUCUCCCGGCACCUUGCGGGAAACCACAAGUCUUUGGGUUCCGGGGGGAGUAUGGUCGCAAGGCUGAAACUUAAAGGAAUUGACGGAAGGGC